Long non-coding RNA from Oncorhynchus tshawytscha (Chinook salmon), 2096 nucleotides. RefSeq lists it as uncharacterized. The record is from RefSeq and is a predicted model, not a curated record. The transcript is spliced from 4 exons. NCBI's taxonomy places the organism in Eukaryota, Metazoa, Chordata, Actinopteri, Salmoniformes, Salmonidae.
GUUUUGUUUCCCUGGCCACUGUCUCCAAAUGUCAACUUUGUAGCAUUUUAAUCAUUUGGGGGAACUAUUCCUUUUAACCAUCAAAUUGCCCUAGUUGGUAUGCUACCCAUCCCCCCAAGCAAGUGUCCCAGGCCCCAGAGUCUCUUACGUCUCUUCACCCCACACAGAGAACAUCUGUGUCUCACAGCGUUGCGUAAUCCCACUCUCCACCACCGUCCACCCACAGGGUGUGCCAUUAGGCUUUGCUGACGUAGGCUGAGCAUUGGGUAGAGCUAAAGAAUAGAGAGGGGACGUCUGGUACUAAUGAAGUGAUUACUGGAGAGAGGAGGAGAACAGGAGAAAUAAAAGUAAGAAAUAAGGAGGAGGAGAAAAGGAACGGCUGUACAGGAUGUUCCCACGUUUCAAUAAACAGACGGAGGGGAAAAAAGAAAGAAGAAAUAUAGAAUGAGACAGCAAGAGAAAUUGGAGGUAGAGAGGAGGGGAGGGGAAGUUAGAGAAAACAACAAUGAGCAAGAGAGAGAAAGAGAGGAUGUGAGAACAAAUGUGAGUGGCAAAAAGAGUUAGAAAAGAGAAGAACGGAAUAUGGUGUUGAGUAAUGGCAUGUUGACCGGAACACAUGCAUGCGAGAACAUAAGCCCCAAGGAGCAGGGGAUGGUUCAGCUGGCUGAGGAUGCAGAGUGGAGUGCAGGCAUUUAAGUGAGGGGUUCUGUGGAUUACGGGUAAAAAAGGACAUUAAGAGGCAUACUGAUGGGCCAGAGAAGAUGUCAUUCAAAGCACUCAGCAACUACCUGAGGGUCAGGGGCAGGUCAACAGAAAGAGCUGAAAGACGAAGAGGCAGAAGAACAACGCCACAAUGUUUAGUACAUUGUGUGAAAAUGAGUGUAAGGACAUGGCUAAGGAGUUCAUUGGGGUGAUUGGCAAGUCUGCUUCAGUAGACACAAUAAUUGGUUACAUGGCCCCAGAGGAGAAAGUCUCAGUCAGGUAUAACUGUCUAUAUCAGAAGUAAAUACAAUAAAAAGUAUGUGUCUCUGUGUGGAUAGGAUUGGAUAGGAGCCUCAUCAGAGUUAUUUUUAAAAUUAUUUUACCCAAUUUUUCUCCCAAAUUUUGUGAUAUAUAUAUUCAUCACAGCAACUCCCCAACGGGAAAAGGUCCAGUCAUAUGCCCUCUGAAACAUGACCCGCCAAACCGUGCUCCUUAGCACCUGCCCACUUAACCCAGAAGCCAGCUAAACCAAUGUGCCAGAGGAAACACCGUUCAACUGAUGACUGAAGUCAGCCUGCCAGCGUCUGGAGUCGCUAGCCGCCCUAUGGGACCCCCGGUCACAGCCGGUUUUGACACAGCCUGGGAUCAAGCUCAGGUCUGUAGAGACGCCUCAAGCACUGCGAUGCAGUGCCUUAGACCGCUGCGCCACUCAGGAGGCCCCUCAUCAGAGUUUCUAUGAAUGUAACCAGGUUCCUUGUCUGUUCUGCCUUUGUCAUUUUUUCAGUUUUAUCUUGCUGCCUACCCACUGGGCACAGACAUCAGUUCAAUGUCUAGUUUUGAUUUCCAUUUGGUUGAGUUGUGAAUUGAGUUGUGAAUUCAACGUGAAACCAACAAAAAUACGAAAUGUGCUUUGUCUUAGCCUAUUUUGGCCCUUGGCAAUUGUUUGCCCUUACAAAUGUUGGGCCAUGAUGUACCCUGCAUGCAUACAGGGUAGGUCAAGUUGCAAGCCCUUUAGCACUGUAUUUUGUAAUAUACAUUUAAUUUCAUUGUCUACACUGAAAUGGACUACUUAAAACGAUCCACACAAUUGGUUGGUUCCAAGGAGGAAGAGAUGCAGGAGUGGUCAAUGAUGAGACACACCUUCAGACUAGAGCUCCUGCAUAGGCUGUUCUCUGUUCUCAGUGCAUUUGGAAAGUAUUCAGACCCCUUGACUUUUUUCACAGUUUGUUAUCUUACAGCCUUAUUCUAAAAUGGAUUACAUUUUUUUCCAUUCUACACACAAUGCCCCAUGAUGACAAAUAAAAAAGUGUUUAGAAACCCUUGCAAAUGUAUUAAAAGGAAAAAAACAAAAUAUCACAUUUACAUACUGUAAGUAUUUAGACCCUUUACUCAGU